GAGUUUGAUCGUGGCUCAGAUUGAACGCUGGCGGCAUGCCUUACACAUGCAAGUCGAACGGCAGCAUGAUCUAGCUUGCUAGAUUGAUGGCGAGUGGCGAACGGGUGAGUAAUACAUCGGAACGUGCCCUGUAGUGGGGAUAACUAGUCGAAAGAUUAGCUAAUACCGCAUACGACCUGAGGGUGAAAGUGGGGGACCGCAAGGCCUCAUGCUAUAGGAGCGGCCGAUGUCUGAUUAGCUAGUUGGUGGGGUAAAGGCCCACCAAGGCGACGAUCAGUAGCUGGUCUGAGAGGACGAUCAGCCACACUGGGACUGAGACACGGCCCAGACUCCUACGGGAGGCAGCAGUGGGGAAUUUUGGACAAUGGGCGAAAGCCUGAUCCAGCAAUGCCGCGUGUGUGAAGAAGGCCUCGGUUGUAAG
RNAcentral lists this ribosomal RNA (421 nucleotides) under uncultured microorganism. RNAcentral describes it as "bacterial SSU rRNA". It matches the Rfam family "Bacterial small subunit ribosomal RNA", at positions 9 to 429 of the family's 1533-position model. The record is from RNAcentral.